AACGUAGGUGGCGAGCGUUAUCCGGAUUUACUGGGCGUAAAGGGUGUGCAGGCUGCCCCGCAAGUGGUGUAUGAAAGGGCUCGGCUCAACCGGGCUAGGUUAUGCCAGACUGAGGGGCUAGAGAGCGAGAGCGGGACGUGGAAUUCCGGGUGUAGUGGUGAAAUGCGUAGAGAUCCGGAGGAACCCCAGAGGCGAAGGCGGCGUCCUGGCUCGCAUCUGACGCUCAGACACGACAGCAUGGGGAGCGAACGGG
This 253-nucleotide ribosomal RNA is filed under the name uncultured bacterium. RNAcentral's name for it is "partial 16S ribosomal RNA". It matches the Rfam family "Bacterial small subunit ribosomal RNA", at positions 524 to 776 of the family's 1533-position model. The record is from RNAcentral.